GCACAACGAGAUGAGGCUGGUCAUUGUCAUUUUCUGAUCUGUGAACGGGCAGGAAGCUGCACAACGAGAUGAGGCUGGUCAUUGUCAUUUUCUGAGCUAUGAACGGGCAGGAAGCUGCACAACGAGAUGAGGCUGGUCAUUGUCAUUUUCUGAGCUAUGAACGGGCAGGAAGGUG
Molecule: long non-coding RNA, 175 nt
Organism: Sycon ciliatum
Lineage: Eukaryota; Metazoa; Porifera; Calcarea; Leucosolenida; Sycettidae
Exons: 3
Source: RefSeq, a predicted model, not a curated record